This 1359-nucleotide long non-coding RNA is filed under the name Pan troglodytes (chimpanzee). RNAcentral's name for it is "long non-coding RNA NONPTRT000144". The record is from RNAcentral. Lineage: Eukaryota; Metazoa; Chordata; Mammalia; Primates; Hominidae.
GGUGCUUGUCUGAUAGGAAUGGCUCAGCCAGCCCCGCCCCAGGAUGGUCUGGAAACAGAGACAUGCUCCUGCCUCCAGGAGCUCUACCUUGGGAGUACCCCAUCUGAGGGGGAGACACAGUCUCCCACCGCAGCCCCAGCCCCAGUAUGGAGGCCAGAGUCUGUACCCAGACCGUGCGGGCUUUUCUGCAGAUACACUCCAUUUGCCAACGGUCCCAGUGACACACCAGAGGAAAUCCUAACCCGGAUCGGCAGUGGGAAGUUUACCCUCAGUGGGGGAAAUUGGAACACAGUUUCAGAGACAGCCAAGGACCUGGUGUCCAAGAUGCUACACGUGGAUCCCCACCAGCGCCUCACAGCUAAGCAGGUUCUGCAGCAUCCAUGGGUCACCCAGAAAGACAAGCUUCCCCAAAGCCAGCUGUCCCACCAGGACCUACAGCUUGUGAAGGGAGCCAUGGCUGCCACGUACUCUGCACUCAACAGCUCCAAGCCCACCCCCCAGCUGAAGCCCAUCGAGUCAUCCAUCCUGGCCCAGCGGCGAGUGAGGAAGUUGCCAUCCACCACCCUGUGAGGCACCAGGGCAUUCAGGCCACAGGGCGGUGCUAGCUUGACAGAGUCAGCAUGCUUCCCAGAGGGAGCAGGCCGGAACCACAGGGCCAGAGGGAGCUGGAACCCGAGGGGCCGGGGAAGCUGCCAGCCCAGAACACCCCUAAUGAGGGUGUGAGAAGUGCCUUCUCCUUCCCCAGGAUGGACUCUUCUCAGCUCAGGCUCUGCUGGUGGAAAGCGAUUCACUGUAUAAACUUUUUUUUAUGAAAAAAAUGGCAUCAACCACCAUGGAUUUUUACAAGAUCCAUUUGCCUUUCUGGGAGCAGAAACAGCCAUUGCGGCCCCAGGAGGGGAACUGAGUCACGCUGGGGCUCUCUGAGACUCUUUAGAGCAGCUUUGGGAUCCCACCCUGGGGACCCCCACGAUUGGCCAUCUGUAGCCAUCUGCACACACCUCCGAGACAGUCCAGUGUCACCUCUCUCAGAGCAUCUGGCUGUUUAGCAGAACUCAUUCUAUCCCCAAUCAGCUCCUUUUCCGUUCUGUUCUGCUGGGAGUUCUAGAACCACUUCCUGCUACAGGAGGGGACUCAAGUCCUGCUGGCUUCCAGCUUCAGGCACCAGCAUCCACCUUGGCUCUGCCAGUGGAUCCCCUGCGGUCAGGCUGGGCAGCCCCAGAGAGAGGAUGUGGAAAGCACUUUUUGGCUGACUUCAUUUGGGGUUGGCAACAGGACAGAGUUCACAGGAGGCCAGUGGGCGGGCCAUGAGGGACAGGGUCUUUUUUCAUUUCUUCCUCAGCUGGUUACUCAGGGUUCAUC